RNAcentral lists this ribosomal RNA (468 nucleotides) under uncultured bacterium. RNAcentral's name for it is "bacterial SSU rRNA". It matches the Rfam family "Bacterial small subunit ribosomal RNA", at positions 329 to 794 of the family's 1533-position model. The record is from RNAcentral.
GGCCAGACUCCUACGGGAGGCAGCAGUGAGGAAUAUUGGUCAAUGGGCGGGAGCCUGAACCAGCCAAGUCGCGUGAGGGAUGACGGCCCUAUGGGUUGUAAACCUCUUUUGCCGGGGAGCAAAGUGCCGCACGUGUGCGGUUUGGAGAGUACCCGGAGAAAAAGCAUCGGCUAACUACGUGCCAGCAGCCGCGGUAAUACGUAGGGGGCAAGCGUUAUCCGGAUUUACUGGGUGUAAAGGGAGCGUAGACGGCAGUGCAAGUCUGGAGUGAAAGGCGGGGGCUCAACCCCCGGACUGCUCUGGAAACUGUACGGCUGGAGUGCAGGAGAGGUAAGUGGAAUUCCUAGUGUAGCGGUGAAAUGCGUAGAUAUUAGGAGGAACACCAGUGGCGAAGGCGGCUUACUGGGCUGUAACCGACGUUGAGGCUCGAAAGCGUGGGGAGCAAACAGGAUUAGAUACCCGAGUAGA